GGAGUUAGCCGGUGCUUCUUCUGUGAGUGAUGUCCUUCCUGCCGGCUAUUAACCCGCAGGCCUUCUUCCUCACUGAAAGUGCUUUACAACCCGAAGGCCUUCUUCACACACGCGGCAUGGCUGGAUCAGGGUUGCCCCCAUUGUCCAAUAUUCCCCACUGCUGCCUCCCGUAGGAGUCUGGGCCGUGUCUCAGUCCCAGUGUGGCUGAUCAUCCUCUCAGACCAGCUACGGAUCGUCGCCUUGGUGAGCCGUUACCUCACCAACCAGCUAAUCCGACAUAGGCUCAUCCGAUAGCGCGAGGCCCGAAGGUCCCCCGCUUUCCCCCGUAGGGCGUAUGCGGUAUUAGCCUGGGUUUCCCCCAGGUUAUCCCCCACUACCCGGGCAGAUUCCUAUGCAUUACUCACCCGUCCGCCGCUCGCCACCAGGGAGCAAGCCUCCCGUCGCUGCCGCUCGACUUGCAUGUGUUAGGCCUGCCGCCAGCGUUCAUCUGAGCCAGAUCGAACCCUGA
RNAcentral lists this ribosomal RNA (508 nucleotides) under uncultured bacterium. Its description in RNAcentral is "partial 16S ribosomal RNA". The record is from RNAcentral.